RNAcentral lists this ribosomal RNA (878 nucleotides) under Cordyceps javanica. RNAcentral's name for it is "partial large subunit ribosomal RNA". It matches the Rfam family "Eukaryotic large subunit ribosomal RNA", at positions 29 to 940 of the family's 3401-position model. The record is from RNAcentral. Lineage: Eukaryota; Fungi; Ascomycota; Sordariomycetes; Hypocreales; Cordycipitaceae.
UUGACUUAAGCAUAUCAAUAAGCGGAGGAAAAGACACCAACAGGGAUUGCCCCAGUAACGGCGAGUGAAGCGGCAACAGCUCAAAUUUGAAAUCUGGCCCUCGGGUCCGAGUUGUAAUUUGUAGAGGAUGCUUUUGGCGAGGUGCCUUCCGAGUUCCCUGGAACGGGACGCCAUAGAGGGUGAGAGCCCCGUCUGGUCGGACACCGAGCCUCUGUAAAGCUCCUUCGACGAGUCGAGUAGUUUGGGAAUGCUGCUCAAAAUGGGAGGUAUAUGUCUUCUAAAGCUAAAUAUUGGCCAGAGACCGAUAGCGCACAAGUAGAGUGAUCGAAAGAUGAAAAGCACUUUGAAAAGAGGGUUAAAAAGUACGUGAAAUUGUUGAAAGGGAAGCGCCUAUGACCAGACUUGAGCCCGGUGAAUCAUCCAGCGUUCUCGCUGGUGCACUUUGCCGGGCCCAGGCCAGCAUCAGUUUGGCGCGGGGGAUAAAGGUGACGGGAAUGUGGCUCCCUCGGGAGUGUUAUAGCCCGCUACGUAAUACCCUGCGCCGGACUGAGGUACGCGCAUUGCAAGGAUGCUGGCGUAAUGGUCAUCAGCGACCCGUCUUGAAACACGGACCAAGGAGUCGUCUUCGUAUGCGAGUGUUCGGGUGUCAAACCCCUACGCGUAAUGAAAGUGAACGCAGGUGAGAGCUUCGGCGCAUCAUCGACCGAUCCUGAUGUUCUCGGAUGGAUUUGAGUAAGAGCAUACGGGGCCGGACCCGAAAGAAGGUGAACUAUGCCUGUAUAGGGUGAAGCCAGAGGAAACUCUGGUGGAGGCUCGCAGCGGUUCUGACGUGCGAAUCGAUCGUCAAAUAUGGGCAUGGGGGCGAAAGACUAAUCGAC